AGCUCGGGGGAGCGGCUGCUGCGUGAGGAGCACCCCGGGGCACAGACACUGGAGGCGUUCCUGGCGGCUCUGCAGACCCAGUGGAGCUGGAUGCUCCAGCUCUGCUGCUGCAUCGAGACCCACCUGAAGGAGAACACCAACUACUUCCAGUUCUUCAGCGAGGUGCGAGAGACCGAGGAGCUGC
Molecule: long non-coding RNA, 184 nt
Organism: Neopelma chrysocephalum (saffron-crested tyrant-manakin)
Lineage: Eukaryota; Metazoa; Chordata; Aves; Passeriformes; Pipridae
Exons: 3
Source: RefSeq, a predicted model, not a curated record